RNAcentral lists this ribosomal RNA (407 nucleotides) under uncultured bacterium. Its description in RNAcentral is "partial 16S ribosomal RNA". It matches the Rfam family "Bacterial small subunit ribosomal RNA", at positions 30 to 526 of the family's 1533-position model. The record is from RNAcentral.
AUUGAACGCUGGCGGCAGGCCUAACACAUGCAAGUCGAGCGGAGCGGCGGACGGGUGAGUAAUGCCUAGGAAUAUGCCUGGUAGUGGGGGAUAACGUCCGGAAACGGGCGCUAAUACCGCAUACUAUCAGAUGAGCCUAGGUCGGAUUAGCUAGUGGGUGGGGGAAAGGCCUACCAGGGCGACGAUCCGUAACUGGUCUGAGAGGAUGAUCAGUCAAACUGGAACUGAGACACGGUCCAGACUCCUACGGGAGGCAGAAGUGGGGAAUAUUGGACAAUGGGCGAAAGCCUGAUCCAGCCAUGCCGCGUGUGUGAAGAAGGUCUUCGGAUGGUAAAGCACGUUAAGUUGGGAGGCGUUACCCGCAGAAGAAGCACCGGCUAACUCCGUGCCAGCAGCCGCGGUAAUUC